Non-coding RNA from Podarcis lilfordi (Lilford's wall lizard), 5274 nucleotides. Lineage: Eukaryota; Metazoa; Chordata; Lepidosauria; Squamata; Lacertidae. The record is from the annotation of a GenBank genome assembly.
AGGUGCAAUUCAUCACACACACACACACACACACACACACACACACGUUGCAUGAUUGUGUCAACUCUCUAUUAUGAUUCUUACUGUCGCUAUACAUUAUACACAGAGCAUGUCAGUUUAAAAAGCAAGUAGGUGACAUAAUAGCAGGUUUUCAUUCAAAAUUCAUAUGAACAGCACCGAAUAGCCCACCCUGAAUCUGAAAUAUGUUCUAAAAAUUCUCAGUUAAGCCCUGUUGUCAUGAAGACGGGCGAUGAGCUUGUUUGGACUGUACCGGUUCAGAUUGCAGGGGGGUCACAUGGUUGAGAGUUCCACCAUACCCAAAAUAUAGCAAUAGACAGAGCUUCCCCCAGCUGGUACUCACCAGAACUCAGUUCUAGCACCUCUCAGGUGGGCACUAUUGCCGUUAUAAGAGAACAAAGGAGACAUUCAUGGUGAGUUCCAGGACCUCUUUUUCUAGAAAAAUGGCAAUAGAUUCUCACUUUACAUAGAAAACGAGCAAACAGGGGAAAAGGUUUGCUUCCAAAGCUGUGGUUCAUAGCUGUGGUGCAUAAGAGCACUGUGAAGCACUAGCACUAAAAGAAGGAUAGGAAAUGGCUUGGUCCAGGCGCCAUCACAGAGACAAGUUUAGUGUCAGUACUUUGAUCUAUGUACCAUAUUUUGUAAUCCAUUGCAGAGGCUCAUGAGAACUGUUGUUCCUUUGACCUUGGAAUUGUGAUGGUGUGCAUAUUUCUGGAAUCCAACCCUGAGCAAACUUGUGUUGAGAGGCCUUUGCUGAUGCAAGUGUAUUGAUAAAGAAGCAGGGAGAGUAAAAUAUGCAAUCAAAGAGAUGUGCAACCAAAGGGAUGGCAUUCAGAUGAGCCUGAAGCCACUAAAUAGCCCUUGGCAAGUCACACCAAAGUUAGGGAUGUUUGUUUUGCUUUAUUGGCCAACAUCCAACUUGGGGUCAUUGCGGGAGCUAUGUGCAACUCUUGGGUUUCUAUUUAUGUAAGAGUUGACAAAUGUUUGUUUUGGUUUCAAUCCACAGGCUUCGCACCCCUAGGUUUCACUUUGAGGUUUCAUGUUGAGUGAAAAAUAAAGAGUUCUGUCUGGUUUGGGGUUAAAACCUCAAGUAACCACAGACUUCUCUCUAGAGUCUACAGGGAAAGGAGACGGUUCACUGGAAAGGGCUAGAUGUGCUGAGCUUCAUGAACUUUUCAAGGGAGCAUGAGCUGAAUAGUGACUCUACUCUUUCCCAUCAGGACAGGCUUAGUGACAUGCUUCAGAUUUAUUUUUUUUCUGAAGUCAAUAUAUCAAAGUUCACAGCCCGUUCAAAAAUAUUAUUUCCCUCACAGUUCCUGUAAGUUUAUUGAGAGAGAUGUUUUUUCUCGUAAAGUCAUAACAGUUGACCAAUACUUUAAUAGUGCCGCCUAAACCCUUCUCUGCUUGUACCAAUUCUCACCAUUGGCACCCAGUCCCAUCUCUCCUUAGGCCUUGUAUGCUGAGAUGUCUUUUAAAAACUUCUGAGAAUUUGGAGUGUUCAUGAGCAUUCCAUCACAUCUUUUUUUUAAUAGAGCCAUCAAGGACUCAUUUCAGUCAACAAAGGCUACUGAUGUUUUAAAAUAGCAGUCUGUGUUUUACCUCCUUGUCCCUUUGUUUCGUUUAUUUGAUUUGGGAAAUAACUGGGAAUAGCCAUUGCUUCUCUGAAUUUCUACUUUGCUGUGUGCUGGAAUUUGUUACCUUACUCAUUCAAAAGUUGAUGACGCAAGAUAGUUUCCAAAGCUGGCUCUGAUUUCACAUAUAGAGAUAGUGAUUAUAUAGAUUACAGGUGUUCAUUUAACAGGCAUUUAAAAAUUGGAAUGUUAAGAGUGUUGGGAUGUACACUGACACUUAUCUGAUACUCUGUGAAAGUUGAUCACCUUUCAGCUGGUUGAUCAAUUACAUUUAAAUGCAUUUACAGAUUACUGAAACUCGGUAUGGGUGCAAUUUAAAAAAAAAAUAGAGCAAGACAACCUGCAACUUAAUAAAUAAAACAACACUGAUUUCUUAAGACAGACUGAGCUGAUGUAUCAAAAUUGCCAAAGCCAUGAUUCCCAGUGCCACUUCAAACCAUAAAAAGCACCAGUAUUAGACAAGCCAGUGUUCGCUAGGCCUCUUUGCAUAUAUUUAUAUAUUUUUUUUGUGCCUAGGUGUGCAGUUUAUAUUCAACAGUAUGCAGUGUGUGGGAUCUCCAUAGCAAAUCACCUUUUAGAACUCUUUUCUUCUUUUCCCUGUGUCCAAGGCUAUAGCCUGUGGUAUGCAAACUGGUUUUGCAUUUGGAUAAUGCUUGUAUCUGCUGAGUGGUCCUUUGGGCCCCUCAGGACUGGACCAGUGAGCAUCCUCUUUCACCUGAGAACCAAUGAAAAGAAGCAUUUGCUGUUUGGGGCUGCUUUCCUCCCCACCCCGUUUUCCAUCUGCUUUUUACCGGAGUAGUUUUCUCUCUGUGCUUUGCUCACCUCUUUUCCUUAUCCCAAGUGACGUGUAUGUUGCUAAUACGUCGAUCUACGUUUGACUGGCAUCAUACAAAUGCCAGAACAUGUACCAGGCCACUGUACAAUUCCGCCAUCCACCUUAGGAAUCCAUUGCCUCAUCCAAACACAGCUUCCAGUUAGAUUCCAGGGAAAAAUAGAAGUAGCGGUGCAAGGGCAUUGCCACAGAUAAGUAAACAAAGGGAACGGAAGACAUGUUGUCUCCUAUUCUGUCAUUUUGCACCAAUAUUGGAGCAACAGAAGCCUCAGAAUUGUUAACGGUUUGUCUGAUGAUAGUUAUGCCUACAGGUGUCCCCACCCCUUUUUGGCCAGCUGACUAUUCCCUCAUUACCAGACUUCUGCAGGCAAGAGGGAACACAGAGGGGGACCAUUAACCUAUUGGAGACUUGAGAGCAAGCCAUAGAGAGAAUUCUCAGGGGUUUAACUGGCCGUUUAAGGAACGCACAGUGUUUAUUAACUGCAUUAAUUAAGGAAAUACAGUGACAUGCCAUGCAUGCAGGAACAAAACUGUAAGCGUGAUUUUCUUCCUGUUUUGCCUUCAAAAUUAUAUAUUUAUAACUAACACACACAAAUAUGCACACUCUGUUGUUCUUUCCCUCUCAACCGUGUGUGCUCACAUAUUUCUGCACACGCACACACCCACACCCACACCCACACCGUAUAACACCAGCAAACAUAUUUGCUGUUUGGCAGUCACAUGUGAGCAAAACCUACUUUAUGCACAAUAAAGCAGAAGCAUCUUGGCCCAGAUUGUUUGUGUCUCUGGUAAACCCAGCACUUGGGGGAAAUGAUUAACGCUCCUUCUCCUUCCCUGACUGCAGCAGGACACGCUUUACCUGCAUAAUGAAUCCGGCAUGUGACGGUAACAGGGGAAAGGGAACAUCCUAGGUGAACAUAUUAUUUGCCAGAAAUAAAUUAUUCAGGAUGCAGUUCCAAAUAGAGAUUGCUGGGAGAGAUAAAGCCAUUGGGGAUCUCUCCCCCUCCCCCCACCAGUUCAGGCUACAGAGACAUGGAGCAUGCUUUUCAGGAAUUCACUUAAGUGGAAUCAGCUUGGAAUAAUGCAGCCAAGAAGUAAUAUUGCUGCCAUCCAGCUAGUGUCUGUGGAACAGCAUCCUCGGCGUCUCUUCACAGUAGCAUGCACGCACAUAGGCGCAGACAUGAUACUGUGUGCAGAAGCGUAUGUACACAGAUUGUAUUUUCCGAAAGGAAACUGCACCACAGCUACCUGAGAGCAGCGUUUGUUGGCUCAAGACGAUUAUUUGCCGACGUUGCUCUUGUUUCCCUGAACUAGUUGGCCACAUCAGCGUCCGUCUGCCAGCGCAUCAUGUGUCUCCUCACGCGAUGCUCGGCUUCUUGCAGUUUGGGGAAAGAGAGCUCUCGUGACUCUGUGCACUCCUGGGCAGUAAUAUCCGGCAGCGCAGAUAUCCAAAUCCAAAACGGCAGAAAUAAAGUUGUGUGUUAUUUUAGUGGCUUGAUUUUUUUAUUUUUUUUUAAAACGAUGAUUUUAACUCUCUCCAUUUUGGGGCUGGGUGGGAUUGUGUUGCGGGGGGGAACGCCUGCUCUUUACUUCCUGCAGGAUUCGAGCCGUGCUGUUUGGAAGGAGCGAUUUCGUCUUCUCUCAGAGCGAUGACGCUGUACCACUUUCGGCAUAUCCUGCUCCCCCCGUUUACCUGGGUGGCUGCUAUUGCUGCUGUUGCUGCGGCUGCUGCUGUUGGGCUUGCUCCUGCCUGCCUGCCUGCCUUCCUGCGUUUCAACCUGGCUUGCACUACGGGAGAAUCUCUCGUCGGCACACUCUCGGCAAGAUGCGAGGAAAAUCUGGGCAGUGAAUUCUGUUCCUGCUGGAAGAGAGGAAAUGUGCGAUUCUGGGUUUUUAUAAAGGGUGAAAAAUGUGAGUCAAAGAGAUACGAUGCCAGGUAAUCCGGUGUUUACAGCAAGGGCAUUGGCAGCGAUCCUGUACGUAUGGCAAGGGCAUCAAGAAGAAGAAUCCCGGGCACUGCUGUUCGAAGGGAUUAUUAUGGGGAAAGCCAUGGCGAUGCCGUGCUUCACCUCAGAGGAGCUGUGCUGGAGAUGGAUAAAUAAAGUAUCUGAUACGUGAGCCUGUCAGAGCAUAGCCAUGGGAGGAAAAGAGUGGAAGGGAGCAAGCCAGCAAAUGAAAAGGAGGAAGAGGAGACGGCAUGCCGUUUGAUCGUGUCUGCUCAUUUCUGCAAUGAUGAUGAUGAUGGCAUAAUUUACAGAACCCAUAUCUGGAUAGAGGGACUAAAUUGUAGUCUGAACACUCCCUAAUGCGGUUACAGAGGAAACAAAAGGUGUAGGUGGCUGAAAAGACAUGAGCACCUUGUGGGGGAAAGGAGAAGUGUGCAGUGUAUGUUGUAUGUGUGUCUGUGUUUGUACAUAUGUGCAUUGAGGGAAAGGCAGCUUUCUGACUUGAGAAUGUAUAGGAAGCCUUUCAGGCUGCUGGACCAGGCUUGGUUAUGGUGAAUAUUUUCAACUACCUCCUUUCUACAUGUUCUUUUCGGCAAUAAGCAGUCAGCUUGUUUGAAAAAGACACAUUUGGAGGCGAGAUUCUGGAAAUUCUCUCUCUCUCUCUCUCUCUCUCUCUCUCUCUCUCUCUCUCUCCUUUAACACCUUGAAGCCUUGAAUCUUCUAUAUGUUACAGGGAAGAACAGUGGGAUUUUUUGUUUGCUUCAUCUUUACAAUCUUUAUAAACACAGCUGUACUCAGUCUAGUGAAAAAAUUCUAUACUGUAAAUACACGUGUGGUCAGUCUAAUC